UCUCAGCAAGUCAAUGUACUUCUACAGAAGGGUGCGCCCUUACAGAUGGAGCAAUGGUUGAGUGCACACCUGGACAAGGGAGGGGAAAGGGUUCUUAUCCCUGAUGCACAUGGCCCCUGCUGCUGUGUCAUUCCCCUAUUGGCUAGGGUUAGACCACACAGGCCAAACUAACUCCAACUGGCUAAUUUAAAGAGAGUGACAGGGUGAGUGGUUUGGCGGGAAAAAUGGUUAUGGCAGAGCAGGAAAUCGGAAUGAGUCAGGAUGGAGCAGGUAAUCGAAAAAGGUUGCUUUAUGAGGAAGUUAAGUUUACAAGUAGAAGGCAAAGAAUUGAACAUACUGACAUACUGAUUCUUUAAAGAGAAAUUUAGAACUCAUAUCUAACACACUGAUGGCUAUAGCAUAUCCUCUGUCCUUUUUCCUAGCAGAGCGUAAAAUUCUUUGUAUUGGGGUUUCUAUUUGUGCUACUGAAGGAGGCAGUACAGAUGUUUCUGCAAUUGGAGGAGGCGGUAUAGGCCAAUUUUUAUCCUCUCUGUUUUUUAUUUUCAAUUGGAGCUGUGGGUGGGACAACAUAUUCUUUCAGAUUUUUAGAUUCAGGCUGUUGUCCCACAGAAUAAUAAGGAGAUAAUGGUAGAAGUACAGUACAAACUAAACUCCAAGUGGAGAAAACAGAAGAAUCAACUAAGAAUCAGCUAAGACCUUUUUGAUGAGCCUGUUUUAAUCCUUCUCCUGCUUUGUCUCAAUUUUCCAUAUCAAGGAUGCCUGCCUGUGGGAACCAUGGGUUAUGCGUAAUAACCUUUUGUGGCUUCUGCAGGAGGUUAGUGUCUGCGAAUUAACCUAAGCUCCAGACUGUCUCUACAGAACUUUAAGCAACUGCACAUAAUGUUUUUCUUCAAUAGACAAAUUCUUCCCCUUGUUAGCCUGAUUCAGAAAACUUCCUGUUCCUAGUACUUCUUUAAAGCACUGCUCCCAGUACCUCUUUACGGCACUGAUCAGUACCUCUUUAGGGCACUGACCUUAUCUCUGCUGCUGGCAGACUCGUUUCGGGGUCCCCAUUCGCCUUGUCAAUUUCAGUUCCUCUGCUCCAGCGGACUUUCUUCAUUCAUGUCCUCGAAGUCCUGUGUUCGGAUGCCACUAUGCAGAGCACCCGAUCCUGUUGCUGUUUGGGGUGCCACUUGUAACCUGCAUGGACCUCGGGGGACUGAACAAAGGGGGGCGAAUGUGGGAAUAAAAGACAAGACACAAAAGAGUAUAUUUGGAAGAAGAGGUCAAGGGGCAUCUUGCCUCUAGUGGACAAGGGCCGUGAGCUUUACACAGCCCUCUGUAUUUAUUAGGUGAAAGAGACAGCAAGAAAGUGGGAGGAUGGUUGUCGGGUAAUUGUCAGUCAGCCGUUUGGUUCACAGCGGGCUUGUGAACAAUAGGCGCUAGAUUUCUCAAUAGAUAACUUCCAGGAGCCCGGCGCCAGGGCAUGAUGUCCCUCAGCAAACAUUUUGGUGGCAAGGCAGUGUGAGUUUGCCCACAUCCUGCAUUCAUGAUAAACAGUUCGCUGUUUGAUCAUAUAGCCUCCAGCGGAAUGCUGAGUUGGUCACGUCCCGCGGGCCUUUGGCUCCCUGCAGGGUAACUCUGUCUUAGGAUAACUCUUAGGCUCCACCUUAGGGUAACUCUGUCUUAGGCUCUUAAACUCUUAGGGUAACUCUUAGGCUCUGUCUUAGGGUAACUGUCUUAGGCUCUGUCUUAGGGUAACUGCCCUGUCUUAGGGUAACUCAAUUCUUCAUCACAGCUGCAGGUCACCUACUUGCAGAGGAAGAGUCUGCUUUAGUCACCUGCCACGUGGACAAGCUUGGGUGCAUCCUAAGGAUGUCGGUUCAGAGGGAGAAGGUGGCUGGGUGUCAUGUGUUUAGUCCCUUUUCCAGCUUCACCAGACAGGCAGGUCACUGCUGCCACAGGGAGAGGGGCUGAGGGGCAAAGGGCACCUCUGUGGUCACUCUUGCCUGGAGACACAAGGCCCUCCUGAAGGACCCCUCAACACUUAGGAGCAUUAGUACAGCGGGAUUAAGGGCUUUUUUUUUCUUCAAAUUGGACAGAGGGACAGACUGCUGAGGAAUACAUGUGGAUUCUUUCCUUCUGUGACACUCUGAAAGAAUUGUGACUGGGGCAUGGGGUGCCACCUUCAGAGGCAGGAGUGUUUAGGAAAUGCCACAGUGGCACAUGACCUGCGUGGGCUCCAGCAGCAGCAGCAACCUGCAGGGUAGAUAGGGCAGCUGAGAACACGAGAGCAGAAGGGCGGUGACUCUAUCAUCUCGGAGGGUUCUGUUCAAACAACAUUUUCUAGUAUACAAUGAAAAGAGACCUGGUGCCAGGCAUGGUGGCUCAUGCCUCUAAUCCCAGCACUUUGGGAGGCCGAGGCAGGUGGAUUACCUGAGGUUGGGAGUUCGAGCGAGACCAGGCUGGCUAACGUGGCGAAACCUCAUCUCUACUAAAACUACAAAAAUUAGCCAGGAUUAGGCACGCGCCUGUAAUCCUCAGCUCCUUGGGAGACUGAGGCAGGAUAACUGAUUGAACCCAGGAGGUGGAAGCUGCAGUGAACCGAGAUGGUGCCACUACACUCCAUCCUGGGUGACACAGUGAGACUCUCAAAAAAAAAAAAAAAAAAAAAAGAGGCCUGCUAGUACUCAUCUCAUAGGGCUGUUAGGAGGAGUAAGUGAAAUCAGACAUACAAAGCAUUUAGCUCAGCUCAACCAACGCUCAUUCUCGCCUUGUCCCCACUGCAUAGCCCCUAACCCCAAAUAUCCCAACAUAGCUCAUAACAAUAAGAUUCUUGUUUCCCCAACAUGUUUAAUUUUAAGAAUAGAGAUAAUGGUCAACUCUUGAGAAGAAC
RNAcentral lists this long non-coding RNA (2875 nucleotides) under Homo sapiens (human). RNAcentral describes it as "HSALNT0121886". Lineage: Eukaryota; Metazoa; Chordata; Mammalia; Primates; Hominidae. The record is from RNAcentral.